ACCUAAUAGAUACCCAGGUAGUCCACGCCCUAAACGAUGCGAACUGGAUGUUGGGUACAUUACGGUACUCAGUGUCGAAAGCUAACGCGUUAAGUUCGCCGCCUGGGGAGUACGGUCGCAAGACUGAAACUCAAAGGAAUUGACGGGGGCCCGCACAAGCGGUGGAGUAUGUGGUUUAAUUCGAUGCAACGCGAAGAACCUUACCUGGCCUUGACAUCUGUCGAAUCCUGCAGAGAUGCGGGAGUGCCGCAAGGAACGACAAGACAGGUGCUGCAUGGCUGUCGUCAGCUCGUGUCGUGAGAUGUUGGGUUAAGUCCCGCAACGAGCGCAACCCUUGUCCCUAGUUGCCAACACGUAAUGGUGGGAACUCUAGGGAGACUGCCGGUGACAAACCGGAGGAA
RNAcentral lists this ribosomal RNA (401 nucleotides) under uncultured bacterium. Its description in RNAcentral is "bacterial SSU rRNA". It matches the Rfam family "Bacterial small subunit ribosomal RNA", at positions 771 to 1171 of the family's 1533-position model. The record is from RNAcentral.